CAUUCCUGUGAUGAGUUAAAUAUUAAAGUAGUGGCCUGAAAUUCAUUGAUGAAUUACAAUCUCUGAGGAAUU
This is a non-coding RNA of Daucus carota subsp. sativus, 72 nucleotides long. The record is from Rfam. Lineage: Eukaryota; Viridiplantae; Streptophyta; Magnoliopsida; Apiales; Apiaceae.